This 849-nucleotide ribosomal RNA is filed under the name uncultured bacterium. RNAcentral's name for it is "bacterial SSU rRNA". It matches the Rfam family "Bacterial small subunit ribosomal RNA", at positions 646 to 1501 of the family's 1533-position model. The record is from RNAcentral.
GUAUGGGAGGGGGAGAUGGAAUUAGUGGUGUAGGGGUAAAAUCCGUAGAUAUCACUAGGAAUACCGAAAGCGAAGGCGAUCUCCUGGAACAAUACUGACGCUAAGGCGUGAAAGCGUGGGGAGCAAACGGGAUUAGAUACCCCGGUAGUCCACGCCCUAAACGAUGAACACUAGUCGUCGGGAUGCUAGUCAUCUCGGUGAUGCACUUAACAGAUUAAGUGUUCCGCCUGGGGAGUACGGUCGCAAGAUUAAAACUCAAAGGAAUAGACGGGGACCCGCACAAGUGGUGGAGCAUGUGGUUUAAUUCGAAGAUACGCGAAGAACCUUACCUAGCCUUGACAUAUUUAAGAACUCCGUAGAGAUACAGAGGUGCCUUCGGGAGCUUUCUUACAGGUGCUGCACGGCUGUCGUCAGCUCGUGUCGUGAGAUGUUGGGUUAAGUCCCGCAACGAGCGCAACCCUCGUCACUAGUUACUAACGGUUCGGCCGAGGACUCUAGUGAGACUGCCUUCGUAAGGAGGAGGAAGGUGAGGACGACGUCAAGUCAUCAUGGCCCUUACGGCUAGGGCAACACACGUGCUACAAUGGCCAGGACAGUGAGACGCGAUACCGUGAGGUGGAGCAAAUCUAUAAACCUGGUCUCAGUUCGGAUUGUAGUCUGCAACUCGACUACAUGAAGCUGGAAUCACUAGUAAUCGUAGAUCAGCUAUGCUACGGUGAAUACGUUCCCGGGUCUUGUACUCACCGCCCGUCACACCAUGGGAGUUGAUUUCACCCGAAGCGGGGAAGCUAAACUGGCUACCCUCCACGGUGGAAUUAGCGACUGGGGUGAAGUCGUAACAAGGUAACC